RNAcentral lists this ribosomal RNA (454 nucleotides) under uncultured Mycobacterium sp. RNAcentral's name for it is "bacterial SSU rRNA". It matches the Rfam family "Bacterial small subunit ribosomal RNA", at positions 115 to 584 of the family's 1533-position model. Lineage: Bacteria; Bacillati; Actinomycetota; Actinomycetes; Mycobacteriales; Mycobacteriaceae. The record is from RNAcentral.
ACGUGGGUGAUCUGCCCUGCACUUUGGGAUAAGCCUGGGAAACUGGGUCUAAUACCGAAUAGGACCGCGCUCUUCAUGGGGUGGGUGGAAAGCUUUUGCGGUGUGGGAUGGGCCCGCGGCCUAUCAGCUUGUUGGUGGGGUAAUGGCCUACCAAGGCGACGACGGGUAGCCGGCCUGAGAGGGUGACCGGCCACACUGGGACUGAGAUACGGCCCAGACUCCUACGGGAGGCAGCAGUGGGGAAUAUUGCACAAUGGGCGCAAGCCUGAUGCAGCGACGCCGCGUGAGGGAUGACGGCCUUCGGGUUGUAAACCUCUUUCAGUACCGACGAAGCGCAAGUGACGGUAGGUACAGAAGAAGGACCGGCCAACUACGUGCCAGCAGCCGCGGUAAUACGUAGGGUCCGAGCGUUGUCCGGAAUUACUGGGCGUAAAGAGCUCGUAGGUGGUUUGUC